RNAcentral lists this ribosomal RNA (439 nucleotides) under uncultured bacterium. RNAcentral's name for it is "partial 16S ribosomal RNA". It matches the Rfam family "Bacterial small subunit ribosomal RNA", at positions 339 to 795 of the family's 1533-position model. The record is from RNAcentral.
CUACGGGUCGCUGCAGUGGGGAAUAUUGCACAAUGGAGGAAACUCUGAUGCAGCAACGCCGCGUGGAGGAUGACGCAUUUCGGUGUGUAAACUCCUUUUAUAUGUCAAGAAAAUGACGGUAGCAUAUGAAUAAGCUCCGGCUAACUCCGUGCCAGCAGCCGCGGUAAUACGGCGGGAGCAAGCGUUACUCGGAAUCACUGGGCGUAAAGGACGCGUAGGCGGGAUAGAAAGUCAGGUGUGAAAUCCUAUGGCUCAACCAUAGAACUGCACUUGAAACUUCUAACCUAGAGUAUGGGAGGGGAAGAUGGAAUUAGUGGUGUAGGGGUAAAAUCCGUAGAUAUCACUAGGAAUACCAAAAGCGAAGGCGAUCUUCUGGAACAAUACUGACGCUAAGGCGUGAAAGCGUGGGGAGCAAACAGGAUUAGAUACCCUGGUAGUC